AGGGCACCACCAGGAGUGGAGCCUGCGGCUUAAUUUGACUCAACACGGGGAAACUCACCCGGCCCGGACACCGGAAGGAUUGACAGAUUGAUAGCUCUUUCUUGAUUCGGUGGAUGGUGGUGCAUGGCCGUUCUUAGUUGGUGGAGCGAUCUGUCUGGUUAAUUCCGAUAACGAACGAGACUCUAGCCUAUUAAAUAGACGUCGGGUUCUCUGCACUCGACGGUCUUCUUAGAGGGACAAGGUGCUUUUAGCACCGCGAAACAGAGCAAUAACAGGUCUGUGAUGCCCUUAGAUGUCCGGGGCCGCACGCGCGCUACACUGAAGGAAGCAGCGUGUAACAACCUUGUUCUAACGAACUGGGUAAACCCGUGGAACUUCCUUCAUGAUUGGAUAAGGGUUUGCAAUUGUUGCCCUUGAACGAGGAUUCCCAGUAAACACUAGUCAUCAGCUAGUGCUGAAUACGUCCCUGCCCUUGAACCCCCGCCCUUGGUAAUACCGAUUGAAUGUUAUGAGGUCUCC
This 519-nucleotide ribosomal RNA is filed under the name uncultured eukaryote. RNAcentral describes it as "SSU rRNA". It matches the Rfam family "Eukaryotic small subunit ribosomal RNA", at positions 1161 to 1711 of the family's 1831-position model. The record is from RNAcentral.